GGGGAUUUAGCUCAGUGGUAGAGCGCUUGCCUAGCAAGUGCAAGGCCCUGGGCUCAGUCCCCG
This 63-nucleotide transfer RNA is filed under the name Rattus norvegicus (Norway rat). It matches the Rfam family "tRNA". From Rfam's summary of the family: Transfer RNA (tRNA) molecules are approximately 80 nucleotides in length. The record is from Rfam by way of RNAcentral. Lineage: Eukaryota; Metazoa; Chordata; Mammalia; Rodentia; Muridae.